Molecule: long non-coding RNA, 4344 nt
Organism: Scophthalmus maximus (turbot)
Lineage: Eukaryota; Metazoa; Chordata; Actinopteri; Pleuronectiformes; Scophthalmidae
Source: Ensembl
UGAUGGGGAUCCCUGUUCCACUCAGGCCGUCUCCAUCAGCACCUGCUCCCACUGGUCUGCCGGCUACACCUGCACCUCCUGUUUCAAUGUUGAUGUUACAGCCUUUACACGUGUACAUUCAUUUUUAGCAGAAUAUACAUUGCAACAUUGAAAAGAAUAAAAAAAUGAAAAAUAUUUUAUAUUUUUCUAGCAAUACCAUUUUGAUGUUUUGUUGUGAAGUUUGCCUGAACUGGAUGUGAAUUUUAAUUGUCAUCUAUGCACAAAAUCUGUGCAUGAUUUCAAAGUAAGGGGGGGAAAAAAAGGUUCUCAAGUUCCCAGAAAAUGUAAAUGCACCUUCUCCUCCAGAACUUCCAGAACCUUCUAUCACGCUGCCAGCUCCACCAUCACCUGGAAUAAGGUCUCUCAAACAGAAGCGUACCAGUGGGUCCAGCUGUCGUCACUGCACCCCUGCCAGUGCUGGUUCCAUUCACUGUACCAACACCAGUGCCGGUCCCUGCACCUGCUCCUCCAGUACCUGUCCCGGUCCCUGCACCUGCUCCUCCAGUGCUGGUCCCUGCACCUGCACCUCCAGUGCCGGUCCCUGAUCCUGCCCCUGCUCCUCCAGUGCCUGUCCCGGCUCCUGCCCCAGGUGCAACACCACCAGCUCCUGGUACUGCACCAUAGCCUCCCCCUGGUCCGUAACCAGCACCAGGCACAGGCCCAUAUCCGCCAGGUCCAUAUCCACCAGGUCCAUAUCCUGCUCUUCCAGUUCCGAGUGCUCCUCCGGUCCCAGGGCCAUAUCCUCCUCCUGCUGCUGGGCCACCAAAUAUUACGUUCAGACCAGAUCCUGGGGCUCCACCACCACCAGGAAGCCCUGCGGCGGAGCAAAGAGGCGAGGGGCGUAGCUUGAACAAAGACUUGAAAUAUUUCUUAUAGUUUUAAAAUGUUUGUUGCUCAAAAAAUACUUGUCUUGCAUCACAGUAUUAUAUUUUCAGUAUUGAAAAGAUAUACAAUUUAAUAAAUGGAAUCACCUCCCAUGUCAGAUGUUCAUGUUUUAACUAAAUGUUUUAUUAUAAAGAUAAGUAAUCAUCAAAUUAUCCUUUUAACCUAAUCUAUCGAAUUGAUAUACAUUUUUUUAAAACUCUUCAGCUGGCAAUGACCACUGCAAACUGCAUGUUUACUUAUGAACAUUAAUCAUAUGAUGUUUUAUCCCCACCGUAUUUGAGAGACUUGGCUCCCCCCGGAUAUCCUAUAAGACAAACACUAGAGAGUUAAAAGACAUGCACACAGUCUGGCUUCAGUAAGACCUUGAUGUGCACACAUCAGGUACUACUCAUUAGCUAGUAACUAACCAGUUACUAUUAGUGAUUAUUUUUGUUACUGUGGAGGUUGUUCUUCUGUUCGUACCUCCAGCACUACCUAGUCCAAAGCCACCAGGUCCACCACCCGUUCCAACACCUGACCCAGGUAUCGCACCGGUCCCCAGUCCUGCUCCAGGUCCACCACCAGUUGUUAGUCCAACACCUCUUCCCGGGACCCCUCCUCCUACUCCGAGCCCAGAACCAGGCCCGACUCCACCACCAAGUCCUCCUGCACCCAGGGCUCCUCCAACUCCUCCAGGCAGACCUGCAGGUUUUAAUCAGAAAACUAAUCUUAGAAAUAGCCUGAUAACAAAAACAACAGACUUUAACCAUUUGCUAAUUUUCUAUAAAGACCAAUAUGACCGGUUGAUGUCAAACAGAUGAAUCUAUGAUUUUAGCAAAUAUCGUUUCUUACCAUAUUUACGAGCUUUGGCACCAGCAUAACCUGCGAAAAGAAGACGCAUCAAGGUCUGUUGCGAUGACUUCACUAGCCAGUGGAUCAAUUUGAAUAUUUGUUUAUUUUCUUAUCUUUCAUCCUAAAUUUGUCUCCCACCUCCAGGUCCAUAGCCAGCACCACCAGGUCCAACUCCUCCACCAGGUCCAUAUCCAGCACCAACAGGUCCAACUCCACCUUGUCCAUAACCUGUUCCAGCACCACCUGGUCCAUAACCAGUACUAGCACCACCUGGUCCAUAACCGGUACCAGCACCGCCAGGUCCGACACCACCUUGUCCAUAGCCUGUUCCAGCACCACCAGGUCUGACACCUCCUUGUCCAUUACCUGCACCAGCACCACCAGGUCCGACACCACCUUGUCCAUAGCCUGUAGCAGCACCUCCAGGUCCGACACCACCUUGUCCAUAGCCUGUUCCAGCACCGCCGGGUCCAUAGCCUGUACCAGCUCCACCAGGUCCGACACCACCUUGUCCAUAGCCUGUACCAGUACCACCUGGUCCAUAACCAGUGCCAGUACCACCAGGUCCAACUCCGCCUUGUCCAUAGCCUGUACCAGCACCACCAGGUCCGACACCACCUUGUCCAUAGCCUGUACCAGCACCACCUGGUCCAUAACCAGUGCCAGUACCUCCAGGCCUGACUCCACCAGUGCCUAAACCUCCAAGUGCUCCACUUAGCAUGCCUAUAAGGACGAGAAUAAUCCUAUUUUAUUGAUAUUCUUUGUUAUAUACAGUUAUAGAUUAACAAUACAGUUACAUACAGUUUUUCAAUUAUUUAUCUGUUCUUACCAUAUUUACGAGCUUUGGCACUCGCGUCAUACCCUGAAAUACAAAUAUAGUUAUAAUACAUUUGGAUUUGCAAUACAAUUUUUUACUCUUAAUAUUGUGUGUUGGAUCUAUUCCUACAUUUUCCAAAACACAAAAUCUACUGAUUUAUAGUUUACCUCCAGGUCCUGUUCCGGCUCCUCCCAAUCCAGCUCCAGUGCCACCUGGUCCAUACCCAGUUCUACCAGGCCCGUAACCAGCUCCUCCAGGGCCAGUACCAGCACCACCAGCACCACCAGGACCAAGGCCACCUGACCCAGUACCAGCACCACCAGGACCAAGGCCACCUGACCCAGUGCCGGCACCGCCUGGACCAAAACCGACCCCAGAGCCAGGUGCCACACCUGUGCCGAGGCCAACUCCUCCUCCUGGUCCUCCGCCUCCAAGGCCUCCAGCUGAGCCUGUGCCUGCACUGCCUGGACCAUAACCAUAGCCGCCCCCUGCUACACCUGUCCCAAUGCCUGAGCCAGGCCCCAGUCCUCCACCUGGUCCUCCUCCUCCAAGGCCUGUCUGACCUGGAGAGAUUAAAGUUCAUGUGUGUCUCAGGCACUAAAUGGUUGUUAAAAAAACAUAUUCAUCAUGUUAUUUUUGGUAGUUUGUACAAGUAUGUCUCACCAUAUUUACGUGCUUUGGCUGAGCCAGGACCAUAACCUGUGGCAUAAAACACUUAAUAUUAAUGUUUAAUACAUAAAAGUAUAUCCGCUGUUGAUAUAUUUAUUGUUUUCCAGGAAUACAUUAGAAAAACUGUUUCAUAGGUGCAUCCUGCACUCUGGUUUCCCUCAAAAGACCUAGAAAAGGGUGCAGUACAUUUACCUAAACCAGGUAUGGCUCCUCCAGGUCCACCUCCUGUUCCAACUCCGCCUCCUAAUCCAGGUGUGAUUCCUGCCCCUCCUCCAGGGAGUCUUCCAGCCCCACCCCCCAAAGCGCUUCCUUGACCAAGCGUUCCUCCUCCAGCUCCAGCUCCACCUGUUGGAAGGAAAUAAACAAAAAGUUGAUUAAUAAAUUUAGUUAUUAGAUGAUGCUAAUGCCUCUAACAACACAUAUUUAAAUGUAACAUCUGUUGAGAGUAAGGGUGUUGUUUAAACUAAUGAGUCUUUACCAUAUUUAGCUGCAGCUUUGGCUGGAUUCUUUGUUUUGCCACUCCCUGUAAUUGAGAGAAUAGAAAAUUUAAUAAAUUGUGUAUAUAUAUAUCGUUGACUUCAUGUAACUUUACAGACCGCUGUGGAGGUUACCACAUUGCGAGUUCCCGUGUACCUGAUUUUGGUGAUAUGAGAGGGUAACCACGGAAAACCCCUGGCAAUUGCUGUCCACGGCCAUCUAAGGUGAGAAAUACACACAUUUUAAUAUCAACAAUGUAAAUAAUUCAUCACAAAUCUGUAAUGUGACUGUUUGUUUAAGGCUUUGUGACACUGACUUCCUGCUCCUCCUGGUCCAGCUCCACCUUGGCCGAGUACUCCUGCCCCUGCGAGGAAUAAAGCAGUAAUUUUUAUUUUUAGUCAUGUGGCCCAUGCCAAGAUGUUUUACUCCAAAAUUACUACCAUUGAAUACAUCAACACACCAGUCUGAGGCCCAAGUCCAGAUCCUGUGGCCACUUCAGGGAGAACACCACGGCCUCCAAAACCUAGUAAGAGGCAAUGAGAAGACAGAAAACAUAUUUCAACUUUUUCUGUAAACACACUGAAUUCCUCACAAUGUGCCAUUUAUUCAUCUGUUGUCAAAUACAU